Non-coding RNA from Triticum aestivum (bread wheat), 115 nucleotides. The record is from Rfam. NCBI's taxonomy places the organism in Eukaryota, Viridiplantae, Streptophyta, Magnoliopsida, Poales, Poaceae.
CUUGUACUCCCUCCGUCCAAAAAUACUUGUCAUUGAAAUGGAUGUAUCUAGAUGUAUUUUAGUUCUAGACACAUCCAUUUUGAUGACAAGUAAUUCCAGACGGAGGGAGUACUUG